RNAcentral lists this ribosomal RNA (633 nucleotides) under uncultured Bacilli bacterium. RNAcentral describes it as "bacterial SSU rRNA". It matches the Rfam family "Bacterial small subunit ribosomal RNA", at positions 66 to 679 of the family's 1533-position model. The record is from RNAcentral. Lineage: Bacteria; Bacillati; Bacillota; Bacilli.
GCGAAGUUUUUCUGGUGCUUGCACUAGAAAAACUUAGCGGCGAACGGGUGAGUAACACGUAAAGAACCUGCCUCAUAGACUGGGACAACUAUUGGAAACGAUAGCUAAUACCGGAUAACAGCAUUAACUGCAUGGUUGAUGUUUAAAAGUUGGUUUUGCUAACACUAUGAGAUGGCUUUGCGGUGCAUUAGCUAGUUGGUGGGGUAAAGGCCUACCAAGGCGACGAUGCAUAGCCGACCUGAGAGGGUGAUCGGCCACACUGGGACUGAGACACGGCCCAGACUCCUACGGGAGGCAGCAGUAGGGAAUCUUCCGCAAUGGGCGAAAGCCUGACGGAGCAACGCCGCGUGAGUGAAGAAGGAUUUCGGUUCGUAAAGCUCUGUUGUUAGGGAAGAAUGAUUGUGUAGUAACUAUACACAGUAGAGACGGUACCUAACCAGAAAGCCACGGCUAACUACGUGCCAGCAGCCGCGGUAAUACGUAGGUGGCAAGCGUUGUCCGGAAUUAUUGGGCGUAAAGCGCGCGCAGGUGGUUUAAUAAGUCUGAUGUGAAAGCCCACGGCUCAACCGUGGAGGGUCAUUGGAAACUGUUAAACUUGAGUGCAGGAGAGAAAAGUGGAAUUCCUAGUGUAGC